CUGUUGAUACCAAAAUUGAGCCGACCUAAUCCACGUAUGAGCCAAUAAGGACACGUGGUACACCAGGAGUUGGCAAUAAGGCGCCUGAAGGACAAAAAGGUGGGAACGGUUGAAGAUUGGGGCGUAACUUCCAUGAGGAAUUAGCGUAACUUCCAUGAGGAGUUAGUAUAACUUCCACGAUCAUGGUUACAACCACUCUCCCCAACUACUUUCAACCAACUAAUAAUAUGGGCUAUAAAUAGUAACUUUGAAGCCUGCAAUAGGGGUCUUUGCCCCUGCGCACAGAAAACAACUGUUAUUUUCCUGCAUCUUUCUUUCUCGCAUUUACUGCUUUCCCUAGGAGUAGUUCUUGUAACUUAGAUCUUUGGAGUCUGUCUGCCCCAUGGGCAUCACUCCCUUAUAGAAUAUACUUAGAGUCUGUCUGCCCCAUGGGCAUCACUCCCUUGUAGUUGGAGUUUGUCUGCCCCACGGGCAUCACUCCUCUGUUCUUGUACUCCUCCAUUCCCUAUUCAGUAGAAAGUCACGUUCGGCUAUUCGGGCCGACCAGAUUUUGUGUUGUGCUAGCCAUUCGGCUCAUCUCCCGGCUUAAAUUCCGACUUUUCCCGCACAUUCGGCUCAUCCAGCCGAACCGGAGAGUGAAAAGAGCUUUCGAACCCGGCUGAUUUGAUCCCUCAUCAGCCAAUUCGCUUGAUCUAGUCGAAGGGCGCAAACUUCGAGGGUCACUAUCCGCAGUCGUUCCUCACCCCGACACGCUCCACGAGGAGGAUCUUUGACCAGGUCAAAGGUCGAAAAAUUCGGCUACCAACAAAUUUUGGCACGCCCGGUGGGACACAUUUUUAGAUAAAUUUAUAUUUUAUAUAAAUUAUGGUUGAUGAUCUACGUAAUAGGGUUGUUCCUAGAAAUUCUGGGAGUGAUCAACCUAGUAAUUUAGACAAUGCUGGCGAAUGUCAAGCAGUUUUGCCAGUUGAAGGAGAAAUUAGUGGACAGUCGGCUCAUCAAGAGCCGAGUCUAACUCAGGCACUCGGCUAGAUGAGGCGAGUCCUGCAAACUUUAGAUCAAAAUAUCCAUCAAAGUACCGCUCGACUAGACGCGGUGCUGGCCGCUAUCAUGGCCUAUAAUGAAAAUAUUGGUCAAAUCAGACAAUUAUUUAUCCAAAACAAGCAACCUUAUGGGGGGCAACAAGAGCCCCUAAAUGUGCCGGUGCAACAAAAUCCCGUCACACCAGCGGUUUUACAGGCGCAACCGCAAAUGGCACCUUUCCAGGUUGCUUACAGGCCGGCGAAUAUAAACGCCGGCCCUCAGUCGGAGAUUGCAUCGGGUUUACCUCCUUUACCAGCUUAUCAGCCCCAAAAUGUAGGGAUUAGGGCUGAGAGGCAGGCCCUUAAUGAUAUGCAAGGAGCGAACCCUGCAAUACAGAAUUCUAGAGUUCCUCAAGAGCAAAAUUCGGCUCAAGCACAAGCUCCGUUGUAUACUCAGAUUGAGGAAGUCAUUCGGAAUACCUUCGGAGUAGGGGCCAGGCCGGCUAUGCGGCCUGUUUUUCGAUCCCCAUAUCCGGCAAACAUAGAUACAGAACAUCCGUAUCAGACAAACUGGAAAAUGCCGAAGUUCGACAAGUUCUGGGGCGAUGAGACCGAGAAUACGAUCGAGCAUAUAGCCUGGUUCACGGCCCAAUGUAGAGAAGCGGUCGCUGACUCAUUUUUAAAACUUUGAUUAUUUAACACGUCGUUAACUAAAACGGCGUUUACUUGGUAUACAAGUUUAUCAGCCAAUUCCGUCCAAAAUUCGGACGAAUUGGAAAGAAAAUUUCAUGAGCGAUUCUAUAGAUCGGAGCCACAAUUAUCGGUCGCCGACUUGACUUUAUACUGACAAAUGUCAGGUGAAACGGUCGAAGAGUAUUUGGACCGUUUCAAAAUAGCCAAAACCCGGUGCUUUAUGAGAAUGCCGGAAUCAGAGUUCGCCAAAAUGGCGUUAAAUGGUCUACAUUUUAAGAUAAAAGACCAUUUUGAAGAUAAGUAUUUUUCUAACCUAUUUGAUCUAGGUGUUCGAGUUGCCCAAUACGAGCAAUUUCAGAAAAAAAGUGAGGACGAUCGGCUGCAAUGGAGCCGAUAUAAAAAUCAAAGCAAAUGUAAGGAGAAAUCCUUGCUAGAAGAACAGUCGGCUCAAGAAGAGCCGAGCCAAUCGAGUGAAAGUGAAGAAUCGGCUGAUGAAGCCGAGAUAUAGCUACUUUCUUUAAGAAGAAUAUUUUGAUAGAAAAAUAUUUGGUUCAAGAAGAGCCGAACUAAUCGAAUAAAAGUAAAGAAUCGGCUGAUGAAGACGAGAUAUAUAUGGCUGGGAUAAUAAAGCGCCGUUUUUCUAAAGCCGACCAAGACAAGCGAAACUAAAGCUUGGGUCUCGGCUAUACUUUUGAACAGUCGAUUUGGCACUAAUAGUCAUUCGAAUGUUCAUUCGAAAGACUAUUGGGGGGGCAUUAUUGAUACCAAAAUUGAGCCGACCUAACCCACGUAUGAGCCAAUAAGGACACGUGGUACACCAGGAGUCGGCAAUAAGGCGCCUGAAGGACAAGAAGGCGGGAACGGUUGAAGAUUGGGGCGUAACUUCCAUGAGGAGUUAGCGUAACUUCCAUGAGGAGUUAGUAUAACUUCCACGAUCAUGGUUACAACCACUCUCCCCAACUACUUUCAACCAACUAAUAAUAUGGGCUAUAAAUAGUAACUUUGAAGCUUGCAAUAGGGGUUUUUGCCCCUGCGCACAGAAGACCACCAUUAUUUUUCUGCAUCUUUCUUUCUCGCAUUUACUGCUUUCUCUAGGAGUAGUUCUU
RNAcentral lists this long non-coding RNA (2818 nucleotides) under Ananas comosus (pineapple). RNAcentral's name for it is "long non-coding RNA (ACOM_LNC024660)". Lineage: Eukaryota; Viridiplantae; Streptophyta; Magnoliopsida; Poales; Bromeliaceae. The record is from RNAcentral.